Molecule: long non-coding RNA, 1299 nt
Organism: Anopheles stephensi (Asian malaria mosquito)
Lineage: Eukaryota; Metazoa; Arthropoda; Insecta; Diptera; Culicidae
Exons: 5
Source: RefSeq, a predicted model, not a curated record
CAGAAAUCAAAAAUGAAGCAAUAUCUCGACCGAUGCAUAAUGGAACAGGGAAGAAAGUUUAUAUCCUGCUCGACCGUUUUGCCACUUUAUGUUUGUUUUACCUUCGCCGGACAAGUACCUGCACGUACUAUUGCCAGCGUAGCGUGAAGAGCAACCACCCUGCCAGGAAAGUCCCAUCCACACGGCAAGAACUAUCAACCGGGAAGGUGAAUGGCUGCAUGAGAUGGGAACGGUGGGGUUGGCGAGCCCGAGACCAUCCUCACACGGGCCAUAAGAUGCAAGGAUGCAGGAAAGAAUCAGGCACGCAGUAAUUGAAUUUUCCAUAACUGCAGGAAUGGAAAUUGAAUUUUUACAAGCAUGUGAGAUAAAUUUAAAACGAUAUUUGCAACCCGAGCGUUUGGUUUCCAGUGGAACUUGUGAGACGCAUUAGGGCACGUGGUAUCGUUAAGGAGGAGAGUUCUGGAGGAUUUUUUGCUCUAAUUGAUGUAUUCUAAGGAAUUGAGCCGUGCUUUUGGUGGACAAAUCCCCAUGCUUCCUAAAACCAACCACGGCAUCAUAUCAAUGUGCUUUUUGGCGAGUUUAGUGGUUGACUAAACAUGGUGACUCCCUUCGUGGAUAGCGGGAAGGAGUAUGGGCCAAACCUCAGGCGGCAACCAACGCUUUUGGCAGCGAUUGGAUUGAACCGAACCGAACCGUAACAGAUACGCUAAAUGAUGCCAACAUUUUAAUGAGUCUAUUUACGAUAACAUUUAUUGGCCGGGAAUCUUCCACGUCGGCGCCUUCACAUCAUUUGGGGGAAAGAAAAGAGCUUUGGCACACUUUCACCGCAUUUGCGGGAAAUAAGCAUAGCCCGAAGGAUGCACGCCACACACACGCCACGGAAGAAUAUUGACAAAUAAUAAUGCAGCCCUUGCUGCACGCGAAACUGUGGCCAUAACGAACAAAACCUCAAAAGAGCUCAUCACCACCGGGCGGAAGUACCGUGCUUUGCUUUUCUGCUGCAGUGUGUUCGCUACGAAUAUGCAUCCCCAGUGCUCCAAUACCAACUCAAUCGCUGACAGAAACACCGCUGACAGGCCAAUCGUCGGAAGUGGCAUUGGCUGUAUGUGAAAUUGCAGCAACGUUCCGGAGACACAUUUCGGGAAAGGAGCAUAAAAAUAUAUCUACAAAGCAGGCACGCAGACACGCAGAGGUGGCGCAGGGCUUAGAUUUAAAUCUCAAUUUCGCUUACCGGAAAGAAGGCACCGGAAAUAAAGAUGACACGAUGACGUUGGAAGCCUGCGACAGUGGCACUGGGAA